CAGUCGCCACGGUAAUACGUAGGGCGCAAGCGUUAUCCGGAAUUAUUGGGCGUAAAGAGCUCGUAGGCGGUUUGUCGCGUCUGCUGUGAAAUCCCGAGGUUGAGCCUCGGGCCUGCAGUGGGUACGGGCAGACUAGAGUGCGGUAGGGGAGAUUGGAAUUCCUGGUGUAGCGGUGGAAUGCGCAGAUAUCAGGAGGAACACCGAUGGCGAAGGCAGAUCUCUGGGCCGUAACUGACGCUGAGGAGCGAAAGGGUGGGGAGCAAACAGGCUUAGAUACCCGCGUAGUCCCUGUCUCUUAUAC
This 301-nucleotide ribosomal RNA is filed under the name uncultured bacterium. Its description in RNAcentral is "partial 16S ribosomal RNA". It matches the Rfam family "Bacterial small subunit ribosomal RNA", at positions 509 to 807 of the family's 1533-position model. The record is from RNAcentral.